GAGCAGGGGCUGAUGGUGGCACAGGGGCCACUGCAUCCUCCCCGGGGUCACUGCUUGCCAGUUCAAGCAGUGCUUACACAGCCGAAGGGGCUACAACCUCAGCCAGGGGAGGAAGCCUGCCCGACACUUCUGUCACCAGCACACCCAGCUCAGUGAUGGCCACCAGCAGUGGGAACAUGACCACAGAGCCCGUGGUAGACACCAGUGCAGGCAGCUCUGCUCCGGCUCCAUCUGGCACCAGCUCCCUGGAUGUGGUCCUUCUGCUGUCUUCUGUGACAGAGCCAGGCAGGCAGGGAGGUGUCUCACAGCGUGAUGCUGGCCUCAGUGAGCUUCCAACGAAGCCGCUGCCCGUGUUUCCUCCUGGUGUUUCAGUGCCUUCAUCCUCACCAAGUUCUUCAGGUG
This 402-nucleotide long non-coding RNA is filed under the name Gallus gallus (chicken). Its description in RNAcentral is "long non-coding RNA NONGGAT008648". The record is from RNAcentral. Lineage: Eukaryota; Metazoa; Chordata; Aves; Galliformes; Phasianidae.